ACUUCCCACGCUGCCCACUUGGGGAAGGUAGAAAAUAAGCUGUACCAUUAACCAGCUCUGUACUGGCUUCUCCUGCCACUUCUGCUCAGGUAUGACGCACCUGGGUGAAAGUUUUGUUAACAACUCAUGAGGUAAAUGGAGUCCCCCCUUCCAUUUGUGGCCUGGAAUUAUUUGUGUGAGAAGGCUGCAGCUAUUACAAUGUCAGAUGGGCUGAACAACACUCUUUAUAAAGAUGGAUACAGGCCUGAAGCGAGACAAGUCACCGAACACAUGAAGUAGAGAGCCUUUCCACCAAACCUAUCCAAGAGGUGUCCAACAACAGGCUGUUACUGUGAAGGAGAUUGACUGCCACCCCCAGAACCUGCCAUAGUUGUAUAAAAUUGAUGACAUGAAACAAGCCAAUUCGGGCAAGUUCUGCAAGAUUCAGCAUGAACUGGAUGAGGCAGAGCAGAGGGCUGAUAUCGCUGUCUCAGGUCAACAAGAUGAGAGCUAAUAGUCGUGAUGCUGGUUCCAAGAAGGUCUCCCAAUGCAAGAGGCUGGACCUGCAUCAGUGAGUCACAUGGAGGAGAGAUUGAUGAUACAUACAAAUAAGGUAAAUACCACACAGUAACUGUCUGCAUCCAAACAGAACACUUAUGUCAUCCUGUUAAUUGCUAAUAAGCCAUAGUGCGGCGCUUUCCAACAGCCAGUAACUCCAUAGGGAGAUCAAAAACAUU
Non-coding RNA from Salmo salar (Atlantic salmon), 716 nucleotides. The record is from RefSeq and is a predicted model, not a curated record. NCBI's taxonomy places the organism in Eukaryota, Metazoa, Chordata, Actinopteri, Salmoniformes, Salmonidae.